UUAUAUAAUUGCAACAAAUCUUAUACAAAGUGUGACGCAUGGCUAGAAAGGGUUAAGCAGCUUGCAGGCUAAAUGACCCAGAGCCAACCUUUAGACACAUGUUAGAAAAGUAUGCAAAUGGUCAUUAGGGCCAUUCCAUGGUAGAAAGGCUAGAAUCUUUGAAAUGCAAACCUGCAUUGUUAGAAGUUAGAGGUGAUACUAAUUGUAUGUGUGUACUCCUGUCUUGUUAGAGGAUAACAAUGUAGUCAAACAGUCCCUGUCUAUGCUGUGUUCUGUUAAUUCAAAGAUCAAAGGAAAUAUUAACAUAUAAAUGAACUAUAAACAUAGUAUAUGGCUGUAUUCAUCUCCUUUGAAAUGUUUAGCAAAUCAACAGAGAAUGGUGGAAAACGGGCAAUUGCCGUAUGUUAAUUUGUGUAGCUAAUUACCGACGAUGCUUAGGAAAUAGGUCUACUUCAAAGUCUCCAUGAUUGUCUAUUAUUCACCUAAGGCCUCUGACCUGUCAAGAGAAGGCCUGGAACUGUAUAAAAACCUCUUGGGUCCGGAUCCUUUUAAUCUCAGAUCUGCUGGAUGCUUCAUGCAUGGGAAACUUAAGCUGUAAGGCUGAGAGCUCCAGUCCUAACUGGAUCCCCUGGAUAUGAACAUUGGACUAUAACCUAUGGACUAAUUCUGAAAGAAUUCUUUGCAACUACGAAAAUCAACAUCUCUACUAUGAAUCUGAUCUCAGAACUGUACUCAUGUCUGGAUGGGCAGGCCAUUUUCAACAGUGCUUGAGCCUGGUGAAGAGACCCUCUCUUUGCUUCAUUUUCUCCUCCUGCCCUUUUGUGUGUCUCAUCUGCCUGCUCUACCACUGCUCUGUGAGGAGCUCUUUCCACUGCCAACCCACCAUGCCCUGGCUGCCUGCAACAGACUGUAUGGGCUCUCCAAGGCCUUAGCUCCAACGCUCUCAUACACCAUCCCGAUGUCCAACCUCUGUUGGUGGUCUCACUGGGGCUGAGGACCUGGCCUUAUGUGCCUGCAGAGACGAGCCUCACCCUGAUGACUAUGAACAAUGCAAGCCAGAUUAAUGCUAUCGCACAGGAAUAUGUGCAGCUCAGUCCAUGGUACAUAUAUACUCCUGGCCCCGCUGAAUCCUGGUGGGGCAUGUUGCAAUUGCUGGACCUACAAAGUUACCCUCAGCUCAACUGUAACAAGUAUGUGAAAAUGCAUAAGCUGUUACAAUAACCAUGAAAAAUAGGCCAAGUUGUUUAUGAAGAUGAAUGUUAGAAGAGGUGUGAGAAACCCAGACAGAGAAACUGUAUUAGUCCAAACAACCAGGGUCUCCUGAUAUAAUUCAAGGACUGUGUGAGAUCAGACUUGGUAAACAGAACAUGUGACAACAAAGUUACCUACGCCAAGUCUGGCCAUAAAUGGAUUUCACUGGUGGACAACCUAAAGGGGGUAAAAGAUACCACCUGCUCGUCCUCCGUUGUGAGGUUCUUAAAAAGAGACUUAGAAAAGAAGAAUAUUCCCCCAAUCAUCCUGUGACCUACCCACACUGCAGCUUGUCUCAGCUCCUCUCCUCUCCGCUUCCUCCACCUCCAGUGGGCAGGAGCAGGCCAGGAGAAGGACUUUCCUCCUGAGAGCCUGCUGGCCGGCCUGCCCUUGUUUAAGGAACCUGGUUUGUUACUUGUGAGUUUAGAAAAUCAUCACAUCACCAUGAUGUCCAGUCCUCAGCCCAUUGGUGUGGAAACCUCAUUUCCCACACCACAGAGGCAGGUAAGAGCCUGCACUGUUUUCCCUUCCCUUGCAUUGCUUUCUGCCCUCCCUCAUCUCCUAGCCUUUCCCUCUGCUUUUCAUUGGCUCCUGAAAUCAGACGUACUGCAUUCGUCCACGCCUGCCUCGUCUAAGGAGAACGAAUCCAACCAGAUGACACUCCUGCCCAGAGCAUGCUCCAGGGUCCAAACGGCAGGUGCCUUGCUUGGCCUGCUAGCCAAAGCCAGAGCACCCAUUUGUGACUAGCCAGCCUGCCAGUGUUGCAAAGCUGUAUUUCCCCCACCUUUUCCACCCUCUCUCUUCUCCACAUGGCCUCCAUCUGUCUGUUAGAAACAGGAGAAGUGAAUAUCCUUCGCACAUCAGGAUUAACCCAUCCUUAGGCUUUUCAUCAAAGAAAGGUUGUUCUGAAAAAGACUGAUAUUUUGCCUAAAAAAGGAGAGAGACUUGAAAGGUUUUGAUUGUUUGUUUUGCACAAUCUCUCAGUUUCAGUAUCAGUAUCAAUGCUUGCUUUAAUUUCUUUUUCUUUCUUGUGUUUGAUCAAUAAACUUUCAGUUUUAGAAUGAAA
Long non-coding RNA from Chrysemys picta bellii (western painted turtle), 2317 nucleotides. RefSeq lists it as uncharacterized. The record is from RefSeq and is a predicted model, not a curated record. Lineage: Eukaryota; Metazoa; Chordata; Testudines; Emydidae.